RNAcentral lists this ribosomal RNA (532 nucleotides) under Bifidobacterium dentium. RNAcentral describes it as "bacterial SSU rRNA". It matches the Rfam family "Bacterial small subunit ribosomal RNA", at positions 158 to 700 of the family's 1533-position model. The record is from RNAcentral. Lineage: Bacteria; Bacillati; Actinomycetota; Actinomycetes; Bifidobacteriales; Bifidobacteriaceae.
GGGUGGUAAUGCCGGAUGCUCCGGUUGGAUGCAUGUCCUUCCGGGAAAGAUUCUAUCGGUAUGGGAUGGGGUCGCGUCCUAUCAGCUUGAUGGCGGGGUAACGGCCCACCAUGGCUUCGACGGGUAGCCGGCCUGAGAGGGCGACCGGCCACAUUGGGACUGAGAUACGGCCCAGACUCCUACGGGAGGCAGCAGUGGGGAAUAUUGCACAAUGGGCGCAAGCCUGAUGCAGCGACGCCGCGUGCGGGAUGGAGGCCUUCGGGUUGUAAACCGCUUUUGAUCGGGAGCAAGCCCUUCGGGGUGAGUGUACCUUUCGAAUAAGCACCGGCUAACUACGUGCCAGCAGCCGCGGUAAUACGUAGGGUGCAAGCGUUAUCCGGAAUUAUUGGGCGUAAAGGGCUCGUAGGCGGUUCGUCGCGUCCGGUGUGAAAGCCCAUCGCUUAACGGUGGGUCUGCGCCGGGUACGGGCGGGCUGGAGUGCGGUAGGGGAGACUGGAAUUCCCGGUGUAACGGUGGAAUGUGUAGAUAUCGG